This 763-nucleotide ribosomal RNA is filed under the name uncultured bacterium. RNAcentral describes it as "bacterial SSU rRNA". It matches the Rfam family "Bacterial small subunit ribosomal RNA", at positions 93 to 842 of the family's 1533-position model. The record is from RNAcentral.
GAGUGGCGAACGGGUGAGUAACACGUGGGUAACCUGCCCAUCAGAAGGGGAUAACACUUGGAAACAGGUGCUAAUACCGUAUAACACUAUUUUCCGCAUGGAAGAAAGUUGAAAGGCGCUUUUGCGUCACUGAUGGAUGGACCCGCGGUGCAUUAGCUAGUUGGUGAGGUAACGGCUCACCAAGGCCACGAUGCAUAGCCGACCUGAGAGGGUGAUCGGCCACACUGGGACUGAGACACGGCCCAGACUCCUACGGGAGGCAGCAGUAGGGAAUCUUCGGCAAUGGACGAAAGUCUGACCGAGCAACGCCGCGUGAGUGAAGAAGGUUUUCGGAUCGUAAAACUCUGUUGUUAGAGAAGAACAAGGAUGAGAGUAGAACGUUCAUCCCUUGACGGUAUCUAACCAGAAAGCCACGGCUAACUACGUGCCAGCAGCCGCGGUAAUACGUAGGUGGCAAGCGUUGUCCGGAUUUAUUGGGCGUAAAGCGAGCGCAGGCGGUUUCUUAAGUCUGAUGUGAAAGCCCCCGGCUCAACCGGGGAGGGUCAUUGGAAACUGGGAGACUUGAGUGCAGAAGAGGAGAGUGGAAUUCCAUGUGUAGCGGUGAAAUGCGUAGAUAUAUGGAGGAACACCAGUGGCGAAGGCGGCUCUCUGGUCUGUAACUGACGCUGAGGCUCGAAAGCGUGGGGAGCGAACAGGAUUAGAUACCCUGGUAGUCCACGCCGUAAACGAUGAGUGCUAAGUGUUGGAGGGUUUCCGCCCUUCA